GUUAGGAUCUGAACUGUAACUCUCAUCGAGAGGAUGGCACUAAGAAGAGUUGGGGCAAUUUUCUAGGUUUUCUUUCCACAAUACCAUAUCCAACCAAGGGUUGGGGAUACAUAUUUAUAGCUGGCCAAGUAGCCAACCAGCCAAGCAUCAAGGCAUAUGCUAGUCUAAGAUGCCUUUUUGAUGCUGUCCUAUUUAGUCUAAGAUGCCUAGGAUUGUCCUACCCUAAAAGUAGUCAACAAAGGUGGUGCUGCAGCAAGCAUAUGCUGCAGCCCCACCGUC
Molecule: long non-coding RNA, 279 nt
Filed under: Setaria italica (foxtail millet)
Lineage: Eukaryota; Viridiplantae; Streptophyta; Magnoliopsida; Poales; Poaceae
Description: long non-coding RNA (SITA_LNC006729)
Source: RNAcentral